Molecule: ribosomal RNA, 467 nt
Filed under: uncultured bacterium
Lineage: Bacteria
Description: partial 16S ribosomal RNA
Rfam family: Bacterial small subunit ribosomal RNA
Source: RNAcentral
GACGAACGCUGGCGGCGUGCUUAACACAUGCAAGUCGAACGGAAAGGCCUCUUUCGGGGGGUACUCGAGUGGCGAACGGGUGAGUAACACGUGAGUAACCUGCCCUUGACUUUGGGAUAACUUCAGGAAACUGGGGCUAAUACCGGAUAGGAGCUCCUGCUGCAUGGUGGGGGUUGGAAAGUUUCGGCGGUUGGGGGUGGACUCGCGGCUUAUCAGCUUGUUGGUGGGGUAGUGGCUUACCAAGGCUUUGACGGGUAGCCGGCCUGAGAGGGUGACCGGCCACAUUGGGACUGAGAUACGGCCCAGACUCCUACGGGAGGCAGCAGGGGGGAAUAUUGCACAAUGGGUGGAAGCCUGAUGCAGCAGCGCCGUGUGCGGGAUGACGGCCUUCGGGUUGUAAACCGCUUUCGCUCAUGACGAAGCUUUGUGUGACGGUAGUGGGUAAAGAAGCACCGGCUAACUACGUG